This 400-nucleotide ribosomal RNA is filed under the name uncultured bacterium. Its description in RNAcentral is "bacterial SSU rRNA". It matches the Rfam family "Bacterial small subunit ribosomal RNA", at positions 355 to 768 of the family's 1533-position model. The record is from RNAcentral.
UCGAGAAUCUUCCGCAAUGGACGAAAGUCUGACGGAGCGACGCCGCGUGGUGGAUGAAGUCCUUAGGGACGUAAACACCUUUUAUGAAGGAGAAAGUAUAUUGAUGUUACUUCAUGAAUAAGGGGCUCCCAAUUCUGUGCCAGCAGGAGCGGUAAUACAGAAGCCCCAAGCGUUACCCGGAUUUACUGGGCGUAAAGGAUGCGUAGGCGGUUAUAUUAGUCGGGUGUUAAAUCCUGGGGCUCAACCUCAGGCUCGCAUUCGAAACGGUAUAACUAGAAGGAAUGAGAGGUGAACAGAACUCACGGUGUAGGGGUGAAAUCCGUUGAUAUCGUGGGGAAUACCAAAUGCGAAGGCAGUUCACUGGCAUUUUCUUGACGCUGAGGCAUGAAAGCGUGGGUAG